GAGGGUAUAGCUCAGUGGUAGAGCAUUCAACUGUAUAUCGAGAGGUACUCGGUUCAAACCCGGGAGCCACUUUCU
Molecule: non-coding RNA, 75 nt
Organism: Trichonephila inaurata madagascariensis
Lineage: Eukaryota; Metazoa; Arthropoda; Arachnida; Araneae; Nephilidae
Source: the annotation of a GenBank genome assembly